GAUGAACGCUAGCUACAGGCUUAACACAUGCAAGUCGAGGGACCGGCGCACGGGUGAGUAACACGUAUCCAACCUGUCCUUUACUCGGGGAUCGCCUUUCGAAAUAAAGAUUAAUACCCGAUAUAAAGGAUAGGUAUGCGUUCCAUUAGGUUGUUGGUGAGGUAACGGCCCACCAAGCCUUCGAUGGCUAGGGGUUCGGAGAGCAAGGUCCCCCACAUUGGAACUGAGACACGGUCCAAACUGCUACGGGAGGCAGCAGUGAGGAAUAGAGGUCAAUGGGCGCUAGCCUGAACCAGCCAAGUAGCGUGAAGGAUGAAGGCGUAUUGGUCGAAAACUUGUUGUAUAUAAGAAUAGGUAUUAUAUGAAUAAGGAUCGGCUAACUCCGUGCCAGCAGCCGCGGUAAUAC
Molecule: ribosomal RNA, 406 nt
Filed under: uncultured bacterium
Lineage: Bacteria
Description: partial 16S ribosomal RNA
Rfam family: Bacterial small subunit ribosomal RNA
Source: RNAcentral